UGGGGAAUCUUGGACAAUGGGNGNAACCCCGAUCCAGCAAUAUCGCGUGAGUGAAGAAGGGCAAUGCGGCUUGUAAAGCUCUUUCGUCGAGUGCGCGAUCACGACAGGACUCGAGGAAGAAGCCCCGGCUAACUCCGU
This 138-nucleotide ribosomal RNA is filed under the name uncultured bacterium. RNAcentral describes it as "partial 16S rRNA". It matches the Rfam family "Bacterial small subunit ribosomal RNA", at positions 355 to 506 of the family's 1533-position model. The record is from RNAcentral.